CUAAGCCCCGGCCACUGUCUCCGAGGAGGCCUGACCAGCAGGCUCCAACGUGGCCCCAGGUGAAGAGUUAAAAUUGUAUAUGUGCAGGUGUAAAAAGUUAAGCUUAAGCUUACAGGUUUAAACCUUGCUGGUACAGCUGUAAAAAAAUAAGACAGAGUAGCACCUUGGCAGUAGGGACUCCAUUUUGGAGCACUUGAGACUGCAUUCUGGGAAAGCACCCCCCCACUGUGAGACUCUGGUCUGAAACUAUGAUCUCAAAUAGUCGGACAAUAGCAGUGCACUACAUCACCCUUGGCAAUGCACAAAAACCCCCUAGCAUGACUGCUCAAGCUUAAAAGUAGAAAGGUUGCACCUGGGUUACCUGGGCUAAUAAUAAAGAUGUGAUUUGUCUGUGUCUUACAUUAAUGUCAAGUCCUAAUUGCUGAUUGUAAUAUUGUAACUGGUAUUGUCAAGAUUAUGAUAAAUAUUAAUUUCAAUUAGGUUUUAGGUUAUGUUGACCCCAGUAACCAUAUACUCUUUUGAUUUUAUGUACUCUCUUUUGAUUUUAGCAACUGUGUAUAGCAACCGUGCAUAGCAACCGUGUAUUCCCCCCUUCCCGGUUUUGUGGUUUUUGCCUUUAUAAACCCUAACCUUUGGUUAUUCGGGGCUGCUCUGUUCAUGUAUGGUCAGACAGCCCCAGCAUGCUGGAUAAUCAAUAAAGCUUCCCCUUGCUGUUUGCAUAAGAGAUGUCUCUUGGUGACGUUUUUCGGGCAGUCGACUCUAACAUUUGGAGGCCCCAGCGAGAUCUGACUGCUGCCUGCGGACGUCUCCAACAGAUAUCUCUCGGGAAGGGAAGUUACUACUGUUCUGCAGGACUCUCCACUGUGACACUAAAAGCUGCUAACUCCAAAUGGUCAUCAGGCAAGACUUCCAGCCCAUUCCACUGGACUACCUGAGCAGCCCUCUGGACCGAGCAGUACAGUCUUUCCAAGGCCACUGUUGCACACCAUAAGACAGGUAGCAAGAGGAAAUACCCAAAUCCCCCUCGACGCCCACAUGCCAGCUUCGAAGAAGUUACAGAAAACAGAACUCCAUCCAUAAUCCCAAAGAAGAAUUUUGGGUAUUACCUCUUGAGGGGAAAAUAUUAGGCAGAAAGUCAGUUAUGAGCUUAUGUGUGUGUGACAUAAAGGCCUAAUGUGUCCAGCAUAUGCAUCUACAUCUCAGUCAUCCUAACAAUGUUUCACGGGCAGCCUGGCCUUUGCAUCCUGCCCUGCCCCCUUCUACCUGAUAACCUGCCAGGUGGAGAUGCCCGCCCCUUCUGCCUGACAAAUCUUCCACAAUCUCCCAGAUGCAGCCCAGUAUCUGCAUUUCAGUAUUACAGAACAGGCGGGGGUUAAAUCUCAUUUUCAUGGGGGUGGGUUAUGCGUGGCCCUAAAGAAAAAAUGUUGUUUUUAUGCUGACUGAACCGGGGUGGUUAAAAACUCCAUGGCCAAACUCAAAAAACGACUGGAAAAAUGACAACGGGAAAGGAAAACUCAACAGGGAUGGUUUGAGUCAUGGUUCUGCCGGUCCCCAUGGCUUACUACUCUACUGUCAGCCCUAACAGGACCCUUAAUUGUUCUAUUCCUAAUUGUAACCAUAGGACCUUGUGUGUUAAAUAGACUCAUCACCUUCGUGCGGAAACAAGUUAAAAAUGUUAAACACAUGGUCAUAAGACAACAAUAUGUCACAUUAAAAGAUACAAAAACAAAUCUCUAAGAUUAGAGAUCCUCACAACAAGGAGUGGGGAAUGAAGAGUUAAAAUUGUAUAUGUGCAGGUGUAAAAAGUUAAGCUUAAGCUUACAGGUUUAAACCUUGCUGGUACAGCUGUAAAAAAAUAAGACAGAGUAGCACCUUGGCAGUAGGGACUCCAUUUUGGAGCACUUGAGACUGCAUUCUGGGAAAGCACCCCCCACUGUGAGACUCUGGUCUGAAACUAUGAUCUCAAAUAGUCGGACAAUAGCAGUGCACUACAUCACCCUUGGCAAUGCACAAAAACCCCCUAGCAUGACUGCUCAAGCUUAAAAGUAGAAAGGUUGCACCUGGGUUACCUGGGCUAAUAAUAAAGAUGUGAUUUGUCUGUGUCUUACA
This is a long non-coding RNA of Oryctolagus cuniculus (rabbit), 2109 nucleotides long. The record is from Ensembl. NCBI's taxonomy places the organism in Eukaryota, Metazoa, Chordata, Mammalia, Lagomorpha, Leporidae.